This 460-nucleotide ribosomal RNA is filed under the name uncultured bacterium. Its description in RNAcentral is "partial 16S ribosomal RNA". It matches the Rfam family "Bacterial small subunit ribosomal RNA", at positions 338 to 795 of the family's 1533-position model. The record is from RNAcentral.
CCUACGGGAGGCAGCAGUGAGGAAUAUUGGUCAAUGGACGAGAGUCUGAACCAGCCAAGUAGCGUGAAGGAUGAAUGCCCUAUGGUUUGUAAACUUCUUUUAUAUGGGAAUAAAAUGUUCCACGUGUGGGAUUUUGUAUGUACCAUAUGAAUAAGGAUCGGCUAACUCCGUGCCAGCAGCCGCGGUAAUACGGAGGAUCCGAGCGUUAUCCGGAUUUAUUGGGUUUAAAGGGAGCGUAGGUGGAUUGUUAAGUCAGUUGUGAAAGUUUGCGGCUCAACCGUAAAAUUGCAGUUGAAACUGGCAGACUUGAGUACAGUAGAGGUGGGCGGAAUGCGUGGUGUAGCGGUGAAAUGCUUAGAUAUCACGAAGAACUCCGAUUGCGAAGGCAGCUCACUGGACUGCAACUGACACUGAGGCUUGAAAGUGUGGGUAUCAAACAGGAUUAGAGACCCUGGUAGUC